UCCUUUUGCUUUGUUUGCCUGGAACCAAUCUAAAGGAUUUGUUUAUGCAUUCUAUGUACUUCGUACAAUUUCAUACAUUAUAAGUCAAGGGAGUGUUUUCUGCAUUUCUGUUGCUUAUGCGGCAGAUUUUAUUAAAGAAAGCAUGAGGGCUGCAGCAUUUAGUUGGAUCACUGGACUUUUUUCUGCUUCUCAUCUCUUGGGCAAUGUUCUGGCACGUUUUCUUCCUGAGAAGUACAUUUUUCUGGUUUCAGUUGUUCUCUUGAUCAGUUGCCCAGUUUAUAUGCAAUUCUUUCUAGUUGAGACAAUUGAACGAACUCCAGCUAGGGACCAAGAUUCAACCUUCUUGAUUAAGAUCAUUAAAGUUUUUCAAACACGAUAUAAAUCAAUGAAGGAUGCGGCAACAAUAGUCUUUAGCAGCCAUACACUUAGAGGCAUUUCUUUUGUUUCCUUUUUCUAUGAGUUGGGGAUGUCCGGCAUCAGCAUCGUCUUAUUUUAUUAUCUGAAGGCAGCAUUUGGUUUUAGCAAAAAUCAAUAUUCAGAAAUUCUGGCAAUGGUGGAAGUUGGUGAAAUUUUAUCUCAGAUUGUGUUGCUUCCUGUUAUCAAUCCUUUGGUUGGAGAGAAAGUGAUACUGUGUCUCGCCAAACCGUAGAACAAUGCAUAAGCUA
This 665-nucleotide unclassified non-coding RNA is filed under the name Hevea brasiliensis (rubber tree). The record is from RNAcentral. Lineage: Eukaryota; Viridiplantae; Streptophyta; Magnoliopsida; Malpighiales; Euphorbiaceae.